AGUGAACGCUGGCGGUAGGCCUAACACAUGCAAGUCGAACGGCAGCACAGUAAGAGCUUGCUCUUACGGGUGGCGAGUGGCGGACGGGUGAGGAAUACAUCGGAAUCUACUUUUUCGUGGGGGAUAACGUAGGGAAACUUACGCUAAUACCGCAUACGACCUACGGGUGAAAGCAGGGGAUCUUCGCACCUUGCGCGAUUGAAUGAGCCGCUGUCGGAUUAGCUAGUUGGCGGGGUAAAGGCCCACCAAGGCGACGAUCCGUAGCCGGUCUGAGAGGAUGGUCGGCCACACUGGAACUUAGACACGGUCCAGACUCCUACGGGAGGCAGCAGUGGGGAAUAUUGGACAAUGGGCGCAAGCCUGAUCCAGCCAUACCGCGUGGGUGAAGAAGGCCUUCGGGUUGUAAAGCCCUUUUGUUGGGAAAGAAAAGCAGCAGGUUAAUACCCCGCUGUUCUGACGGUACCCAAAGAGUAAGCACCGGCUAACUUCGUG
RNAcentral lists this ribosomal RNA (492 nucleotides) under uncultured bacterium. RNAcentral's name for it is "partial 16S ribosomal RNA". It matches the Rfam family "Bacterial small subunit ribosomal RNA", at positions 29 to 507 of the family's 1533-position model. The record is from RNAcentral.